Molecule: non-coding RNA, 976 nt
Organism: Podarcis lilfordi (Lilford's wall lizard)
Lineage: Eukaryota; Metazoa; Chordata; Lepidosauria; Squamata; Lacertidae
Source: the annotation of a GenBank genome assembly
UGUUGCUGUGGUGUGGGGCAAGGUUAUCACCGGUUAAUAAUAAAAUAGUGCUUAUGAGGGUAGUAAUUAGCCCCAGUCAGCAUGGCUGAUGGUCAGGGAUGAUGAUGGGUGAUGUAGUUCAAUACCAUGUUGACUAUCCCUGGGCCUCUAAUAUUCGAGGUAAAACAGUUUCCAAGUCUCCCAUGGCAUUUUUGGCAGUGUUUCGGUCUCAGUGUCACUUCUCAGGUUUCUUCAUAGUUGACAGGGCAUUGGUGCUAAUAGUACAGUACCAGCUCAUUUCAAUCCCGUUGCCAUAGUGCCAAUGGCACAUAAUACCAGGACUGUCAGUGACUGGCAUCUAUUUGGUUGCCAUGGCAGCACCGUGGUUGCUAUGGUACCGAUCUAGGUGUCAGCAUCCUAGCUAUUUUGCCACUGUCUUAAGAAUGUAGAGACUGUUGUGAUAGGAGCAGUUGCAAGAUUGCUAAACAUGGACUAGUUCUGUCUAUAACCACCACCGGCUAAUCUGUUGAUCCCACCAUCAUGGUGAUUUAUAAAAGUAGAGCUUUUUUCAUGCAAGUUAUUAGGUAAACAGGAAAAUGUGUACAGAAAGUGGUUUUCAUUUUACUGAGUACUAAUUUUUCUCAAGUUUAUUUAGGUAGCCAGUAACACAAUUAUCCUUAGACAAGACGUCUGAACAUUUUCCUAAACUUUCUUCCUUUUUUCUAACAGGAUGCAGUGAGCACACAGACCUAGAAUCAGUUUUUGCACCCAGCCAAUUUAAAAUGUACUAGAGACUAUGCCUUGUUUGGAACCAAGAACGUUCACAAUGCCUGGAAGAAUUCCACAUAUAAUGAAAUAAUUGGUGGAAGCAAAAUGGGGCAGUGGGGGUAGAACUGACAGUGCAAAAUGUGUGUAUGUGAGGGGGAACUUGUUUUUUCAAAUAUUGCUUAGAUAAAAAACCAUUUAUGAAGCCCAAAACUUUAGUCCAUCUGCUGUG